Molecule: long non-coding RNA, 211 nt
Filed under: Capsicum annuum
Lineage: Eukaryota; Viridiplantae; Streptophyta; Magnoliopsida; Solanales; Solanaceae
Description: long non-coding RNA (CANN_LNC000442)
Source: RNAcentral
UCGAUUUUUGAGGCCUCCACAAAUAAAAGAAGGAGAUUAUGUAUAUAAAUAUGCAAUAAAAAAAUUAAAUAUUUUGGGCAAUGACGAAACUUUUAUAACACCACGACACCAUAAAAGGUUUUAUGAUUCAUAUCUUGGCAAGGAGAUUUAGGACGGCCGAUUAGUCGAGCAACCACUUCGUAGCUAUAGCGAGUCUAAAACUUAAUCCGAG